Coniochaeta ligniaria NRRL 30616 is the source of this 90-nucleotide transfer RNA. It matches the Rfam family "tRNA". From Rfam's summary of the family: Transfer RNA (tRNA) molecules are approximately 80 nucleotides in length. Their secondary structure includes four short double-helical elements and three loops (D, anti-codon, and T loops). Lineage: Eukaryota; Fungi; Ascomycota; Sordariomycetes; Coniochaetales; Coniochaetaceae. The record is from Rfam.
GCGGGUUUAGCUCAGUUGGGAGAGCGUCAGACUGAAGUCAAACUUCACCAGUUCAUCUGAAGGUCGUGUGUUCGAUCCACACAAACCGCA